UGGUGAAUUUUGGACAAUGGGGGAAACCCUGAUCCAGCCAUCCCGCGUGUGCAAUGAAGGCCUUCGGGUUGUAAAGCACUUUUGGCAGGAAAGAAACGUCAUGGGUUAAUACCCCGUGAAACUGACGGUACCUGCAGAAUAAGCACCGGCUAACUACGUGCCAGCAGCCGCGGUAAUACGUAGGGUGCAAGCGUUAAUCGGAAUUACUGGGCGUAAAGCGUGCGCAGGCGGUUCGGAAAGAAAGAUGUGAAAUCCCAGAGCUCAACUUUGGAACUGCAUUUUUAACUACCGGGCUAGAGUGUGUCAGAGGGAGGUGGAAUUCCGCGUGUAGCAGUGAAAUGCGUAGAUAUGCGGAGGAACACCGAUGGCGAAGGCAGCCUCCUGGGAUAACACUGACGCUCAUGCACGAAAGCGUGGGGAGCAAACAGG
RNAcentral lists this ribosomal RNA (429 nucleotides) under Acidobacteriota bacterium. RNAcentral describes it as "Acidobacteria bacterium partial 16S ribosomal RNA". It matches the Rfam family "Bacterial small subunit ribosomal RNA", at positions 355 to 776 of the family's 1533-position model. Lineage: Bacteria; Pseudomonadati; Acidobacteriota. The record is from RNAcentral.